AUACAGUUGAUUUGAUAGCACGAUUUUUAGAAUAAAGUUGAUAUAAACAAUUAUUUUUAAAGUUAAAUUCAAUUCAGUUAAAUUAUUUCAUUGGCAUACUAUUUCAAUAUUAAAUAAUUCAGCAUAUUUAAAAUUAUUUUUAAAAUCACCAAAAAGUACCGAGGUAAUUUACCCUAGUCUACACUAGUGUAAAUGUGUUUCCACAAUGUAUGAUCCCAUAUGGUUAUUUUACUCGCUCUGCACUUGUGUGAAUGUGUUUCCACAGUGUAUGACCAGUUAUUGUGAUUUUACUUGCUCUGCACUAUUGUUAAUGUGUUUUCAUAGUAUGUGACCAGAAUUUCAGCUCCGCGUGCGUAUGACCAGAAUUUAAGAAUUACAGAAUUUAAGAAUUCCAGAAUUAUAGAAUUGAAUAGCUUUGCCAUGUAUAUCGGCACUAAUCGAUACAUGAGUAAAGUUAAUCAUUGAGUACUUUUUUGAUGUGAUUUUUCAGUAUUUCUACAACUUAUCAAAUUUCAGAUUAUAGAAUUCAGUUAAUUCAGUUUUCAGAAUAAAGCUUUCAGCUUAUAAUAUUGAGCAGCAGGAAUAUUUCAUAGAUUUUUAUGGAUAUCAUAUUAUUUAUGUCAUUAUACUUUACAGCUGCUUAUCUAGGAUUAAGAACAAAGAAUUUUAUGAUGAAAUUAUG
Molecule: long non-coding RNA, 682 nt
Filed under: Olea europaea subsp. europaea
Lineage: Eukaryota; Viridiplantae; Streptophyta; Magnoliopsida; Lamiales; Oleaceae
Source: RNAcentral